Molecule: signal recognition particle RNA, 84 nt
Filed under: uncultured Stenotrophomonas sp.
Lineage: Bacteria; Pseudomonadati; Pseudomonadota; Gammaproteobacteria; Lysobacterales; Lysobacteraceae
Description: Bacterial small signal recognition particle RNA
Rfam family: Bacterial small signal recognition particle RNA
About the family: The signal recognition particle (SRP) is a universally conserved ribonucleoprotein involved in the co-translational targeting of proteins to membranes. Archaeal SRP consists of a 7S RNA and homologues of the eukaryotic SRP19 and SRP54 proteins.
Source: RNAcentral
GGCCCCUCGCGACGCUAGGUCGAAAACCCCGCCAGGGCCGGAAGGCAGCAACGGUAUCGAUCGACGCGGGCGCCGAGGCCAGCC